Molecule: ribosomal RNA, 246 nt
Filed under: uncultured Streptococcus sp.
Lineage: Bacteria; Bacillati; Bacillota; Bacilli; Lactobacillales; Streptococcaceae
Description: partial 16S ribosomal RNA
Rfam family: Bacterial small subunit ribosomal RNA
Source: RNAcentral
GUAGGUCCCGAGCGUUAUCCGGAUUUAUUGGGCGUAAAGCGAGCGCAGGCGGUUAGAUAAGUCUGAAGUUAAAGGCUGUGGCUUAACCAUAGUACGCUUUGGAAACUGUUUAACUUGAGUGCAGAAGGGGAGAGUGGAAUUCCAUGUGUAGCGGUGAAAUGCGUAGAUAUAUGGAGGAACACCGGUGGCGAAAGCGGCUCUCUGGUCUGUAACUGACGCUGAGGCUCGAAAGCGUGGGGAGCAAAC